GAUGAACGCUAGCGGCAGGCUUAACACAUGCAAGUCGAGGGGCAGCAUGACACGGAGAUUCGUCGAAGUGUUGAUGGCGACCGGCGCAAGGGUGCGUAACGCGCGAGCAACUUGCCCGUUUCUGGGGGAAUAACCGGUGGAAACGCCGACUAAUACCCCAUAGUAUAACGAAGAGGCAUCUUUUGUAUUAAAGAACUUCGGAAACGGAUAGGCUCGCGUGACAUUAGCUAGAUGGCGGGGUAACGGCCCACCAUGGCGACGAUGUCUAGGGGUUCUGAGAGGAAGGUCCCCCACACUGGAACUGAGACACGGACCAGACUCCUACGGGAGGCAGCAGUGAGGAAUAUUGGUCAAUGGGCGGAGCCUGAACCAGCCAAGUCGCGUGAGGGAAGACGGCCCUACGGUUGUAAACCUCUUAGUCGGGGAGCAAAAAGGAUCACGCGUGGUCCAUUGAGCGUACCCGAAGAAUAAGCAUCGGCUAACUCCGUG
Molecule: ribosomal RNA, 489 nt
Filed under: uncultured bacterium
Lineage: Bacteria
Description: bacterial SSU rRNA
Rfam family: Bacterial small subunit ribosomal RNA
Source: RNAcentral